GAGUUUGAUCUUGGCUCAGGAUUAAUGCUGGCGGCGUGCCUAAUCUAUGCAAGUCUAGGGUUUUGUUUACAAACCCCUGGCAGACGAGUGAGUAAUAUGUAGGAAUCUACCCUUAACACAACCAUAACCUAUCGAAAGGUAGGGAUAAUAGUUGAUAGUCCAGUUUACUUGGUGAAGCUUCGGCGGUUAAGGACGAGCCUGCAUCCCAUCAGAUUGUUGGUAAGGUAAAAGACUUACCAAGUCUAUAACGGGUAGGGGGCGGUGAAAGCGCGUACCCCCACCGAUGGCACUGAGAUACGGGCCGAUACAUCUACGGAUGGCAGCAAGUAGGAAUAUUGCGCAAU
RNAcentral lists this ribosomal RNA (344 nucleotides) under uncultured microorganism. Its description in RNAcentral is "bacterial SSU rRNA". It matches the Rfam family "Bacterial small subunit ribosomal RNA", at positions 9 to 372 of the family's 1533-position model. The record is from RNAcentral.